GAUGAACGCUGGCGGCGUGCCUAAUACAUGCAAGUCGAGCGAACGGACAAGAAGCUUGCUUCUCUGAUGUUAGCGGCGGACGGGUGAGUAACACGUGGAUAACCUACCUAUAAGACUGGGAUAACUUCGGGAAACCGUAGCUAAUACCGGAUAAUAUUUUGAACCGCAUGGUUCAAAAGUGAAAGACGGUCUUGCUGUCACUUAUAGAUGGAUCCGCGCUGCAUUAGCUAGUUGGUAAGGUAACGGCUUACCAAGGCAACGAUGCAUAGCCGACCUGAGAGGGUGAUCGGCCACACUGGAACUGAGACACGGUCCAGACUCCUACGGGAGGCAGCAGUAGGGAAUCUUCCGCAAUGGGCGAAAGCCUGACGGAGCAACGCCGCGUGAGUGAUGAAGGUCUUCGGAUCGUAAAACUCUGUUAUUAGGGAAGAACAUGUGUGUAAGUAACUGUGCACAUCUUGACGGUACCUAAUCAGAAAGCCACGGCUAACUACGUG
RNAcentral lists this ribosomal RNA (497 nucleotides) under uncultured bacterium. Its description in RNAcentral is "partial 16S ribosomal RNA". It matches the Rfam family "Bacterial small subunit ribosomal RNA", at positions 28 to 507 of the family's 1533-position model. The record is from RNAcentral.